UACGUAGGGUGCAAGCGUUAAUCGGAAUUACUGGGCGUAAAGCGUGCGCAGGCGGUGAUGUAAGACAGGUGUGAAAUCCCCGGGCUUAACCUGGGAACUGCAUUUGUGACUGCAUCGCUGGAGUGCGGCAGAGGGGAUGGAAUUCCGCGUGUAGCAGUGAAAUGCGUAGAUAUGCGGAGGAACACCGAUGGCGAAGGCAAUCCCCUGGGCCUGCACUGACGCUCAGUGCACGAAAGCGUGGGGAGCGAACAGG
Molecule: ribosomal RNA, 253 nt
Filed under: uncultured bacterium
Lineage: Bacteria
Description: partial 16S ribosomal RNA
Rfam family: Bacterial small subunit ribosomal RNA
Source: RNAcentral